UGACCGCUGGCGGCGUGCCUAAUACAUGCAAGUCGAGCGAACAGAUGAGGAGCUUGCUCCUCUGACGUUAGCGGCGGACGGGUGAGUAACACGUGGAUAACCUACCUAUAAGACUGGGAUAACUUCGGGAAACCGGAGCUAAUACCGGAUAAUAUAUUGAACCGCAUGGUUCAAUAGUGAAAGACGGUUUUGCUGUCACUUAUAGAUGGAUCCGCGCCGCAUUAGCUAGUUGGUAAGGUAACGGCUUACCAAGGCGACGAUGCGUAGCCGACCUGAGAGGGUGAUCGGCCACACUGGAACUGAGACACGGUCCAGACUCCUACGGGAGGCAGCAGUAGGGAAUCUUCCGCAAUGGGCGAAAGCCUGACGGAGCAACGCCGCGUGAGUGAUGAAGGUCUUCGGAUCGUAAAACUCUGUUAUUAGGGAAGAACAAAUGUGUAAGUAACUAUGCACGUCUUGACGGUACCUAAUCAGAAAGCCACGGCUAACUACGUG
RNAcentral lists this ribosomal RNA (495 nucleotides) under uncultured bacterium. RNAcentral's name for it is "partial 16S ribosomal RNA". It matches the Rfam family "Bacterial small subunit ribosomal RNA", at positions 30 to 507 of the family's 1533-position model. The record is from RNAcentral.